Molecule: long non-coding RNA, 408 nt
Filed under: Dromaius novaehollandiae (emu)
Lineage: Eukaryota; Metazoa; Chordata; Aves; Casuariiformes; Dromaiidae
Description: lncRNA (ENSDNVG00000017816.1)
Source: RNAcentral
UAAUGKUUGUAUAUAGUCUUUGUUAAUACAUAAAUUCCUAAGUGUUUAUUCAGUGUUUUGUCAUAUAGUAAUACAGAAAGAUUGCCAGUUUUAUCAGUGCUGAUGGUUUGUAAUAUAACGUAAAGAGGUUUAAAGUCCCUCUUACUUCCUCAUGUUAUUGCUCAAUAGAUUUGCUAAUGUAAUAAAAUUAUUUUUUGUAUUAGUAAGUCUGUUUUGACUAUUCUUUUGUCUAGGAGUUGUCUGCCACACCCAUUCUUGCUUUCUAGUAUGUGGGAGUACGUUAGGAAUGUUGAUCCUUGUGCAUUUAUCACCUCAGCAGCACUCUGGAGAAAUCUGUAUUUGUUAAGAUAACCUGGUAAAACUUCUGGACACAACAUUCAGCUGAGAAUAAUAGCAGGCAUAGGAAGA